CCUACGGGCGGCAGCAGUGGGGAAUAUUGGACAAUGGGGGGAACCCUGAUCCAGCCAUGCCGCGUGUGUGAAGAAGGCCCUCGGGUUGUAAAGCACUUUCAGUGAGGAAGAACGCCUGGUGGUUAAUACCCAUCAGGAAAGACAUCACUCACAGAAGAAGCACCGGCUAACUCCGUGCCAGCAGCCGCGGUAAUACGGAGGGUGCGAGCGUUAAUCGGAAUUACUGGGCGUAAAGCGCGCGUAGGUGGCUUGAUAAGCCGGUUGUGAAAGCCCCGGGCUCAACCUGGGAACGGCAUCCGGAACUGUCAAGCUAGAGUGCAGGAGAGGAAGGUAGAAUUCCCGGUGUAGCGGUGAAAUGCGUAGAGAUCGGGAGGAAUACCAGUGGCGAAGGCGGCCUUCUGGACUGACACUGACACUGAGGUGCGAAAGCGUGGGUAGCAAACAGGAUUAGUACCCUGGUAGUC
Molecule: ribosomal RNA, 464 nt
Filed under: Vreelandella stevensii
Lineage: Bacteria; Pseudomonadati; Pseudomonadota; Gammaproteobacteria; Oceanospirillales; Halomonadaceae
Description: partial 16S ribosomal RNA
Rfam family: Bacterial small subunit ribosomal RNA
Source: RNAcentral